GGAGAAGAGCUGUGGGAGCUCCUUCAGAAGCACCCACCUUUGUUUUUUGAGAGAGAUGGGAUCUCACUAUGUUGCCUAGGCUGUUUUUGAACUCCCAAAGUGCUGGAUUCCGGGUGUGAGCCACCGGACCGGGCCUGCUCUGCCUUUCUCUAGGGAGGAGGAGCCAAUGCCAGGAGGUUGGCUCUGGGCCGGGACCAGCCCCUGCACUCACCCCUGUCUUCCACAGGUCAUCGAUUACAACGGGGAACGCACGCUGGAUGGUUUUAAGAAGUUCCUGGAGAGCGGUGGCCAGGAUGGGGCAGGGGAUGAUGAUGAUCUCGAGGACCUGGAAGAAGCAGAGGAGCCAGACAUGGAGGAAGAUGAUGAUCAGAAAGCUGUGAAAGACGAACUGUAAUACGCAAAAGCCAGACCCGGGCGCCGCCGAGACCCCUCGGGGGCUGCACACCCAGCAGCAGCGCACGCCUCCGAAGCCUGCGGCCCUCGCUUGAAGGAGGGCGUCGCCGGAAACCCAGGGAACCUCUCUGAAGUGACACCUCACCCCUACACACCGUCCGUUCACCCCCGUCUCUUCCUUCUGCUUUUCGGUUUUUGGAAAGGGAUCCAUCUCCAGGCAGCCCACCCUGGUGGGGCUUGUUUCCUGAAACCAUGAUGUACUUUUUCAUACAUGGGUCUGUCCAGAGUGCUUGCUAGAGUGUUCGGAGUCUCGCUGCCUCCCUCCCGCGGGAGGUUUCUCCUCUUUUUGAAAAUUCCGUUUGUGGGAUUUUUAGACAUUUUUCGACAUCAGGGUAUUUGUUCCACCUUGGCCAGGCCUCCUCGGAGAAGCUUGUCCCCUGUGUGGGAGGGACGGAGCCGGACUGGACAUGGUCACUCAGUACCGCCUGCAGUGUCGCCAUGACUGAUCAUGGCUCUUGCAUUU
This 916-nucleotide small RNA is filed under the name Pan troglodytes (chimpanzee). RNAcentral's name for it is "retained intron". The record is from RNAcentral. Lineage: Eukaryota; Metazoa; Chordata; Mammalia; Primates; Hominidae.